Molecule: ribosomal RNA, 253 nt
Filed under: uncultured bacterium
Lineage: Bacteria
Description: partial 16S ribosomal RNA
Rfam family: Bacterial small subunit ribosomal RNA
Source: RNAcentral
UACGUAGGGUGCGAGCGUUAAUCCGAAUUACUGGGCGUAAAGCGUGCGCAGGCGGCUUUGCAAGACAGAUGUGAAAUCCCCGGGCUCAACCUGGGAACUGCAUUUGUGACUGCAAGGCUAGAGUACGGCAGAGGGGGAUGGAAUUCCGCGUGUAGCAGUGAAAUGCGUAGAUAUGCGGAGGAACACCAAUGGCGAAGGCAAUCCCCUGGGCCUGUACUGACGCUCAUGCACGAAAGCGUGGGGAGCAAACAGG